CUGCCGUUGCCUCUUCAUUGAUAUCUCUGCCUUUCUUCUCAGCCAUCUUCAAUUCCCGUCCAGCUGGAACCCGUUCAGUGAAUGCACAGUGCUCCAUGAGAUCAUAGCAUCACCUGCCUCUCCAGGCCCUUCUCCCCUCCUUACCUACCUGCCAGCCAAGUGGGCUCUCUUGCUGCUGCUGUUCCUUUCAGAAAAUACUGCAAUUUCUACCUGAACGAAUUUUCUUUCGAUGGCAUUACCAGAGUAUAGACAUCCCCCAUUUGAGACCAAAGCCAGUGUACCUUACUACAACGCGAGAUGAUGAAAACAUUUACAGUACAAAAAUUCCAUACAUGGCAGCUCGUGUUGUUUUUAUUAAAUAGAUUGUAACUUUCUUUUUAAAAAAAAGUAUCUAACUACAAAAAACACUAAAAAUGGAGUUG
This 422-nucleotide long non-coding RNA is filed under the name Ursus maritimus (polar bear). RNAcentral describes it as "lncRNA (ENSUMAG00000006238.1)". Lineage: Eukaryota; Metazoa; Chordata; Mammalia; Carnivora; Ursidae. The record is from RNAcentral.